CCCUUAGAUGUUCUGGGCUGCGCGCGCGCUACACUGAUGCGCUCAACGAGUUUUAACCUUGCCUGGAAAGGUUGGGUAAUCUUUUUAAAACGCAUCGUGAUGGGGAUAGAUUAUUGCAAUUAUUAAUCUUCAACGAGGAAUUCCUAGUAAGCGCGAGUCAUCAGCUCGUGCUGAUUACGUCCCUGCCCUUUGUACACACCGCCCGUCGCUCCUACCGAUUGAGUGUGUUGGUGAGGAGUUUGGAUUGGCCUCGGAAGGUGGUUCGCCACCGUCCGUAGCUGAGAAGUUCUCCAAACCGCCCCACUUAGAGGAAGGAGAAGUCGUAACA
Molecule: ribosomal RNA, 328 nt
Filed under: uncultured eukaryote
Lineage: Eukaryota
Description: partial 18S ribosomal RNA
Rfam family: Eukaryotic small subunit ribosomal RNA
Source: RNAcentral